RNAcentral lists this ribosomal RNA (414 nucleotides) under uncultured bacterium. RNAcentral's name for it is "partial 16S ribosomal RNA". It matches the Rfam family "Bacterial small subunit ribosomal RNA", at positions 355 to 762 of the family's 1533-position model. The record is from RNAcentral.
UGGGGAAUAUUGCACAAUGGGCGCAAGCCUGAUGCAGCCAUGCCGCGUGUGUGAAGAAGGCCUUCGGGUUGUAAAGCACUUUCAGCGAGGAGGAAGGUGGUGAGCUUAAUACGCUCAUCAAUUGACGUUACUCGCAGAAGAAGCACCGGCUAACUCCGUGCCAGCAGCCGCGGUAAUACGGAGGGUGCAAGCGUUAAUCGGAAUUACUGGGCGUAAAGCGCACGCAGGCGGUUUGUUAAGUCAGAUGUGAAAUCCCCGGGCUCAACCUGGGAACUGCAUUUGAAACUGGCAAGCUAGAGUCUCGUAGAGGGGGUAGAAUUCCAGGUGUAGCGGUGAAAUGCGUAGAGAUCUGGAGGAAUACCGGUGGCGAAGGCGGCCCCCUGGACGAAGACUGACGCUCAGGUGCGAAAGCGU